Molecule: ribosomal RNA, 547 nt
Filed under: Trichoderma viride
Lineage: Eukaryota; Fungi; Ascomycota; Sordariomycetes; Hypocreales; Hypocreaceae
Description: eukaryotic LSU rRNA
Rfam family: 5.8S ribosomal RNA (bases 188-341)
Source: RNAcentral
AUUACCGAGUUACAACUCCCAAACCCAAUGUGAACCAUACCAAACUGUUGCCUCGGCGGGGUCACGCCCCGGGUGCGUCGCAGCCCCGGAACCAGGCGCCCGCCGGAGGGACCAACCAAACUCUUUCUGUAGUCCCCUCGCGGACGUUAUUUCUUACAGCUCUGAGCAAAAAUUCAAAAUGAAUCAAAACUUUCAACAACGGAUCUCUUGGUUCUGGCAUCGAUGAAGAACGCAGCGAAAUGCGAUAAGUAAUGUGAAUUGCAGAAUUCAGUGAAUCAUCGAAUCUUUGAACGCACAUUGCGCCCGCCAGUAUUCUGGCGGGCAUGCCUGUCCGAGCGUCAUUUCAACCCUCGAACCCCUCCGGGGGGUCGGCGUUGGGGACUUCGGGAACCCCUAAGACGGGAUCCCGGCCCCGAAAUACAGUGGCGGUCUCGCCGCAGCCUCUCCUGCGCAGUAGUUUGCACAACUCGCACCGGGAGCGCGGCGCGUCCACGUCCGUAAAACACCCAACUUCUGAAAGUUGACCUCGGAUCAGGUAGGAAUACCC